CAAUAGCGUAUAUUUAAGUUGUUGCAGUUAAAAAGCUCGUAGUUGGAUUUCGGUUGAGAGCGGCCGGUCCGCCGUUUGGUGUGCACUGGCUGGUUUCAACUUCCUGUAGAGGACGCGCUUUGGGCUUAACGGUCUGAACGUGGAGUCUACGUGGUUACUUUGAAAAAAUUAGAGUGUUCAAAGCGGGCUUACGCUUGAAUAUUUCAGCAUGGAAUAACACUAUAGGACUCCUGUCCUAUUUCGUUGGUCUCGGGACGGGAGUAAUGAUUAAUAGGGAUAGUUGGGGGUAUUUAUAUUCCGAUGUCAGAGGUGAAAUUCUUAGAUUUUCGGAAGAUAAACUUAUGCGAAAGCAUUUACCAAGGAUGUUUUCAUUA
This 374-nucleotide ribosomal RNA is filed under the name uncultured eukaryote. Its description in RNAcentral is "partial 18S ribosomal RNA". It matches the Rfam family "Eukaryotic small subunit ribosomal RNA", at positions 592 to 975 of the family's 1831-position model. The record is from RNAcentral.